Molecule: transfer RNA, 76 nt
Filed under: Pasteurella multocida 36950
Lineage: Bacteria; Pseudomonadati; Pseudomonadota; Gammaproteobacteria; Pasteurellales; Pasteurellaceae
Description: tRNA-Ala
Rfam family: tRNA
About the family: Transfer RNA (tRNA) molecules are approximately 80 nucleotides in length. Their secondary structure includes four short double-helical elements and three loops (D, anti-codon, and T loops).
Source: RNAcentral
AUGGGGAUAUAGCUCAGCUGGGAGAGCGCCUGCCUUGCACGCAGGAGGUCAGCGGUUCGAUCCCGCUUAUCUCCAC